This 75-nucleotide transfer RNA is filed under the name Pararhodospirillum photometricum DSM 122. Its description in RNAcentral is "tRNA-Gly". Lineage: Bacteria; Pseudomonadati; Pseudomonadota; Alphaproteobacteria; Rhodospirillales; Rhodospirillaceae. The record is from RNAcentral.
CGGGCCGACCUUCAUUACGGCUCGGACACCGCCAUUUUGUUCUCGGGCUUCGCCUUGCGCCUGCUUCUGUAUGGC